UACGUAGGGUCCGAGCGUUGUCCGGAAUUAUUGGGCGUAAAGAGCUCGUAGGCGGUUUGUCGCGUCUGCUGUGAAAUCCCGAGGCUCAACCUCGGGCCUGCAGUGGGUACGGGCAGACUGGAGUGCGGUAGGGGAGAAUGGAAUUCCUGGUGUAGCGGUGGAAUGCGCAGAUAUCAGGAGGAACACCGGUGGCGAAGGCGGGUCUCUGGGCCGAUAUUGACGCUGAGGAGCGAAAGCGUGGGGAGCGAACAGG
This 253-nucleotide ribosomal RNA is filed under the name uncultured bacterium. Its description in RNAcentral is "partial 16S ribosomal RNA". It matches the Rfam family "Bacterial small subunit ribosomal RNA", at positions 524 to 776 of the family's 1533-position model. The record is from RNAcentral.